GACGAACCGUACGAACGUUAUUCGGAAUCACUGGGCUUAAAGGGUGCGUAGGCGGCGCAGUAAGUUGGGUGUGAAAUCCCUCGGCUCAACCGGGGAAUUGCUUGGUAUACUGCAGGGCUUGAGGCGGGUAGGGGUGCUUGGAACUCUAGGUGGAGCGGUGAAAUGCGUAGAUAUCUAGAGGAACGCCUGUGGCGAAAGCGGAGCACUGGGCCCGUCCUGACGCUAAGACGCGAAAGCGUGGGUAGCAAACGGG
This 253-nucleotide ribosomal RNA is filed under the name uncultured bacterium. Its description in RNAcentral is "partial 16S ribosomal RNA". It matches the Rfam family "Bacterial small subunit ribosomal RNA", at positions 524 to 776 of the family's 1533-position model. The record is from RNAcentral.